RNAcentral lists this ribosomal RNA (468 nucleotides) under uncultured bacterium. RNAcentral's name for it is "partial 16S ribosomal RNA". It matches the Rfam family "Bacterial small subunit ribosomal RNA", at positions 28 to 507 of the family's 1533-position model. The record is from RNAcentral.
GACGAACGCUGGCGGCGUGCUUAACACAUGCAAGUCGAACGGAAAGGCCCUGCUUUUGUGGGGUGCUCGAGUGGCGAACGGGUGAGUAACACGUGAGUAACCUGCCCUUGACUUUGGGAUAACUUCAGGAAACUGGGGCUAAUACCGGAUAGGAGCUCCUGCUGCAUGGUGGGGGUUGGAAAGUUUCGGCGGUUGGGGAUGGACUCGCGGCUUAUCAGCUUGUUGGUGGGGUAGUGGCUUACCAAGGGUUUGACGGGUAGCCGGCCUGAGAGGGUGACCGGCCACAUGGGGACUGAGAUACGGCCCAGACCCCUACGGGAGGCAGCAGUGGGGAAUAUUGCACAAUGGGCGGAAGCCUGAUGCAGCAACGCCGCGUGCGGGAUGACGGCCUUCGGGUUGUAAACCGCUUUCGCCUGUGACGAAGCGUGAGUGACGGUAAUGGGUAAAGAAGCACCGGCUAACUACGUG